Molecule: regulatory RNA element, 130 nt
Organism: Sutterella wadsworthensis 2_1_59BFAA
Lineage: Bacteria; Pseudomonadati; Pseudomonadota; Betaproteobacteria; Burkholderiales; Sutterellaceae
Rfam family: FMN riboswitch aptamer (RFN element)
About the family: The RFN element is a highly conserved domain that is found frequently in the 5'-untranslated regions of prokaryotic mRNAs that encode for flavin mononucleotide (FMN) biosynthesis and transport proteins.
Source: Rfam
UGCAAUCUUCAGGGCAGGGUGAAAGUCCCUACCGGCGGUACAGCCCGCGAGCGCCUCUCCCUCAGGGGAAGCGCAUGAUCAGGUGAAACUCCUGGGCCGACGGUCACAGUCCGGAUGUAAGAAGAUGCAG